CCAUUGUUGGAUAAGUUCAUCACUCUGAGUGACCUCAGCAUUUGUAUCUCUUCUGGUAUUCUCCCAUGGAAACUAUUGUUGGAAAGGUCAAGACAAGUAAGAACAGUUAAGAUUUUUGGUAAAAUAGUUCAACCCCCCUGUUAACAAUUGUCACAGAGUCUUUAUAAUAGACGUCCCCAAUGUAAACCCGCUUAGCCUUUUCAUCAUUAGUCAUCUUCGCCAUUGCCUUCAAACUCUGCAAAAAUUCAAUGGACAAGUCACCUGAAAAAUUGUUGGAAGCAAUGUCCAAUAUGCGUAGCUUUGGAAACCCACAUUCCGUGUCGAUUUUUGAAAUUGUGCCGUAGAAUCUGUUUGCUCGCAAAACGAGAACCUUCAAGGAAGGUAGCUUCUCUAACCAAAAUGGGAAUGUAUCAUGAACCAUAUUAUUUCCCAGGUCCAGAACCUCAAGUGCUGUGCAAUUGGCUAAUGAUCUCGACAGCUCCCCGUCCAAUUUAUUCCCAGCUAUUUUGAGUAACCCUAGUCGAGUGGGUUGAAGGAAAUCAAUGGAUAGUUCACCAGAAAACUGGUUUGAAGCAAUGUCCAAUACAUCCAAAGUUGGGAAAACAGAUUUAUGUUUGAAAUGUUUAAUUUGACCAUAAAAUCUAUUUUCCCGCAAUAUUAGAACCGUCAAGUAAGGCAAUUUCUCCAACCAAAAAGGGAAUGUAUCAUUCAUCUUGUUGUUUCCCACGUCCAAAACUUCAAGCUGAGUGCAUUCAGCUAAUGAUCUGGGCAACUUCCCUUCCAGUCUAUUCUCACUAAUUUUGAGAAUUUGUAGUUUGGUUGCUUUUGAAAAUUUUGGUAACAUUCCACUGAAGUUAUUUCCUUGCAGAUUCAAGAAAUAGCAUUCAUUUUGCCUAAGCAAUUUGGAAUUGGGCCACUCAAAUUGUUACAAGAUAGACCGAAACUGCCAAAUUGACUCAUAUUGCCCAAGCAAUUUGGAAUUGACCCACUCAAAUUGUUAGAAGAUGCAUAAAAACUGCCAAGUUGACUCAUAUUGCAUAACCAAUUUGGAAUUGGGCCACUCAAAUUGUUAUAAGAUGCGUCGAAAUAGAAAAAGCCUCGUGAAAAAGUUGAAAGGUCCAAAGAUGAGAGAUGGUUAUUAGCAAGAGACAGAUACCGCAAACUUUUUUUCCACACCCUGUUUGGUAUUGCACCACUUAUUUUAUUAUUUGAAAGGUCCAGAAAUUAUUUUUGACUCUUUAAGAACUCCGGAAACGCACUUAUGUUACAGGAUCCCAGAUACAAUCGCCUCAACAUUGGGAAAGAGAAGUUUGCAUCACUUAAGGGAAGUUGUUUUGGAAAAUCAAUCAUAUUGAAAGAAAGGUACACCUGUGAAAGAGUGCUCUUCCACAACCAAUUAGGCACAAUACCAUGGAUAUGGUUGUUAGAAAGUUCCAGAGAAAUCAACUUGUCUUUUGUUUUGAUGAAUUCUGGGAAUUCAGUAAGGUUGCAUGAACUUAGCCUUAGGCUUUCUAAUAGGGGAAAAGUAAGACUUAUGUUGUCACUUUCAAUUAAGAAGCUUAUAUUGUUUAGCGAGAGAGUCCUUAAGUUCUUGAGUUGGACACACAUGUCAAGCUUCAUGGAACUGAAGCUAUUACCUUCGAUAUAAAGCCAUUCAAGCCGUGGAAGUUGAAGGAUUGACUUUGGGAUUGGUCCUGUUAAAUAAUUAUUGCCUAUAUAUAGUACUUCAAUCAAAGAAGAAGAUGCAUUGGGGAACUCAUUAAUUUUCCCAACCAAUUGAUUGUCUCCAUGAUGCAGGAUCUUCAACGAUGGAAGAGUGAAUAAAGAAGAAUGUAUUGAUCCAAAAAGCUUGAUCCCAUCCAAAUUGUGAUUUACAAGAUUAGGAACUCCAAAUCUAUGAAACAAAGGGGUUAAACCACUGAAAUUAUUAUAUCUUAGAUUCAAGUUCACGAGGUGACUAAGAUUUGCAAUUGACGAUGGAAUGGGUCCAAAAAAGUUGCAAGAAGAAAGAUGUAAAUUUGUCAGGAACUUAACAUUACCAACCAAUUCAAGUAGUUUUCCACUGAAAUUUGUAAAAGAAAGCGACAAACUCUGUAAAGCAUUGUUUGCUGGAAAUUCUGGCAACUGACCCAUAAGUUGGCCAUUGCCUGAAAUGUCAAUGCUUUGAAUUUUUGGCAAUAAGAGAAUUCCGGUUGGAAAAUGCCCACGCAAAUUACAGUACCUCAAACUGAGAGAAACCAAACGAGAGGAAGUUUCCAAGAAAUUGGGAGGUAAAUAAGAGAUUGGGUUCCCACCAAGGAUAAGUUUGGAAAGAAAAGAGAGUCUUGAGAGAGAAGAACAUAAUGGACCUUUCAAACCACAGCUUGACAGACUCAACACAUGCAGGUUUGGAAGUACAAGAGAUGUGGUUUCACACCAUUUAGCACUUUGAGUUGAAAUGUCCACACUAUCCAAAUAAAGCGCUGUGAGAAACCUCAAAUUCUUGAUUAAUGUCUUGAAGUUUGGAUUCUCUAAUUUAAGAGGCUGUUGAGGUUUGUAAUAGUUGUAGAAGGCAGGGUACAGAACUUUGUAAUAUCUCAAAUAACAAGAAUCUUGAUUGGAUAGAUCAAGAGAGACUAACCUAUUUAAGAAUGAGAUCUCCACUGGAAUUUGGCCAUGGAAACAUGAGCUUGAAAGGUUGAGAUGAGUUAGAUUUUGGAGUUUAUCAAACCCAUAGGAAAACAGAGUGGUAUUAAAGUUGUUUCCAGCAAGAUUCAGGUGUUGAAGAUGAUGGAGAUCGAAUAUGGAGUGGAAGCUGCCUGAAAGGUUUUUGUAACUAAGAUCAAUGCCAACGACAUGACCAUAAGCAUCACAAGUGACUCCUUCCCAAGAACAACAAUCAGUGUUGACAUCCCAGAGGUCAAAAUUGGAAGAGAAAGUAAAAUUAGGGGCACAGUAAAGAUGACGCUGCAAUUGCAGCAGAGGAGCUCUCUGGUCAUCAAGGCAUUGCUGAGGGAGAUGAGUUUGAGGAGGUGAAAAAGACAAGACAAGAGAAAGGAAGCAUGAGAAGAGGAAGGGUGAAAUAAGGAAAUGAAGAGUGUUCAUGUUGGUUGGGUGUGAAGAAGGAUUGUGCUUGGCAUACAACUUAUUUAUACACAAAUGUGUAGUUUUCAUGUUUGGCAUAUAACUUAUUUAUUAUUAGUAUUAUUAUUAUUAUCCCAUGCUUGCAAAGGUUGACCAAAAAGACUUAACUAAAGUGGUGGAACAUUAUUUUGAUGCAGUAUUGAUUGGGCAAAAAGACUUCGAAAUUGCAUGCUAUGCCAAACAUGAAAACUACACAUUUGUGUAUAAAUAUUAGACAUAUUAGAGGGAUUGAAACUGAAAUUUAACAUUUUAUUGUAAAUUUUUUUUUUAAAAAAAAGAUAAAGGAAAGGAAAGGAAAUAAAUUAUAGAUUAAAUCUCAAAUUUAGGCAUAUUAAAGAAACUAAAUUUUAAAUUUUUUUGUAAAAUGUAAAAUUAAAAAAGAAAAGGAAAAAUGAUUGGGUAUGCGACAUGUAAAAAGAAAGAAGGUCGAAACCAAUUUUUAUAUAUAAGUAUAUAGAUUAUAUAUAAUUAUUCUUACAUAAUUUAAUUUUUUUAAUAAAAAUUACUAUUAAAAUCUUUUAAUUAAAUUUUGGUAUAACACCCAAAAGAAUUAAUUUAUAUACCAAACUAAUUUAUAAAUGAGUACUUUUAAGUCCUAAUUUAUGAAACAGUACCAAACUUAUAAAUAUGCUAUGACCUAUUGAAGGGUUUAAUUAAAUUUAACACCCCAAAUUAUAAGUUGCAUCAUUCUAAAUUUAUCUCUAAACUUCAAAAACUUUUAACUAAAUAAUAGUAAAAUAUAUUGUUGGUCUUAGUCUUAGUUUUAAUAUUUGGGAUUGCAAGCGAAUUUCUAAGUCUUAGUAUAAGAAUAGAAUGUUAUUAACCUUAGUCAUGAAAAUAAUGUUUCUACCACUUUUCUUAACUGAUUGAGAGACAUUGAUGGGUCAAAGACUAAAUUUUGUUGGUGACUUCUCAAUGAACUUGUCCAAGUGUAUCAAAUCAAUAGAAACACAAUGAAACUAAAUAAUGGUUUGGUUUGAGGAAAAUAUAAGCUAUUCUUAGUCUUUGCUUUCAUUUGCACAAUGUUUGGCACUUUUCUUAUCAUAUUUGAACUUCACUCCAUAUGUUUGCUUUCAAUUUAAAACCAUAUUUAUUAUGUGGAUUAAAUCAUAGUAUUGUUAUUCAAAUUUAAAAUAAAGAAAUUAUUUCUCAAGGUAUCUAGUUGGUAAGUAAAUAUUUGCAUUUUGUUAGCCCAUUUACAGAGUAGAUGCCAUAGUUUUAAAAGUUGCUUCACAAUUAAGCCGAGGAUCGAAUCCUCGACCACGGAUUAAGGUAAGAAAGACUCUUACCAUCUCAUCUAACUCUAGUUAUUAAAAUUAAAAUUAAUUUGAAUACCAUAAAUUCAAAUAUUAAUAUUUACAUCUAUUCCAAAUUCAUUAUACAUAAUAAUUAAAAUAUUCAAAUCUAAAUAUUAUCAAAAUUCGUACUCUGGUGAUUAAAAUAUUUGUAUCCUAUUAGUCAUAUUAAUUAUGAUAUUUUCGUCAUUUUGCUUCAUCUUUAUUCUAUUAUGAUAUUUUCAUACUAUUAAUCAUAUUUGAUGUUCGCGAUUUAUUGAUAUAAAAUUUUUAGACAUUAAAUGAUGUUAUUAUUCUAAAUAUAUGCAAGCUCGACUUUGAAGUCCAACCUAUUUUAAACAUCUUUCCUUGUUGAUUGUGGAGAAUGGACCGUGAUUGCAUUGAAAAUACCAUUGAAGAAUAAUAAUUAAAAUAAUCAUAUUUUAUACUAUAAAAUAUUUAUUAUUGAAUAUUUAUAAAUUAUAUAUAUUUUUCUCAUUAAAAUAUCAAUAUAAAUAUUUUUUAAUUAUAUAUUAAGAAUAUUAUUUAAAAUUAAAUUAAAUUAUUAAAAUUUAUUAAUAAAAUAAAAUUAUAAUAUUAAAAUUAAAAAUAUAUUAUUAAUAUAAUUAUAUUAAACUUGAUUCAAAUUAAUUUUGUAUAUAAAGAUAAAAAUAUUCAUAAAUAAGCUUUGUUCGAUAAAUUAAUUACGUUUUCCAAAAAGUCAAAUUAAUUUACAGAAAAAUGAUAUUAUUUAAAUUUCCAUACUAAAAUACUUUUAAAUUUAAUUAAAAUUAUCAAAGACGAAUGAAAUUCAUGAAAUUAAUUUAACAACUUUUCAAUUUUUCGAAAAAAUCAAUUUGAUUCUUCUUCUUUUUUCAAAAUUUAUCAAGCCAAUUGAAACACAAAAAAAUUUAAUAUUUUUAAUUUUUGACUGACAAAAAAAAUGAUACUAUGAGAUAUUUUUUAUAUUAUUAGACCUAAUCUUAAUCUUUGGCAUUCCAUGCAAAUGUCUAAAUCUUUUUGCCCCUUUACUACGGCAUUAAAACAAUGUUUAGCAAAUUUCUUAGGGAGAUGGAUUGAUGGAUAUAAGUAGUGGAAAUUUUGAUGAUACAAUUCUUCUCUUCUUAACAAUUUCUUUCAAAGAAACAUAUUUAAAUUUCCACACCGAAACUUCUUUAAUUUAAAGGAAUAAAUCUUAAAAUUAUAAACUAUGUGUUAAUGUGUAAUUGUAUACAUGAAUUUUGAUUUUAUGCAAUGUUAUACAUGAAAUUUUGAUUUGAUUCAAUUCUUGUAAUUUAUUAACACAAUUAUUGAUAUAACAACAUUUUAUGUCUAUAUAUUGUAUACAUAAAUAAUUAUAUUUAUCUAAUAUAAAAAUAAAUUGAUGUUUUUAUUUCAUUAAAUGUGUAUGAUUAAAUCAAAAUUAAAAUUUGAAUUAUACAUUUGAACCACAAUUAGAGUUCCACGUGUAUGAUUACACCAAACUAAAGUUCAUAUAUAUAAUUGCACAUUAAAUUAAAGUUUAUAUAUAAUUUUAAGUUUUAUCCCUAUUUGAAAUUAUCAAAGACAAAUGAGAUUAACGAGAUGUAUUAUAUUAUAAACAAAGUUCGAUUCUUUGAAAAAGUUAAGCUCCAAUUUCAGAAGUUUUUUUUUCCAAAGUUUAUCAAACGAAUUCAAACACUAUGAGAUUAAACAACAUAUAAUUUUUUAAAUCUAAAAUAUGGAUUUUUUUUCUUUUUUAAAUCUAAAGUCAGUUCCAAUUUUCUAGUGUUUUAGAUUGUUUACUAACACUAAAAAGCACACCACAUUGUAAGGCAUCAUUUCUUUCAUUGUAUUUUUUUUUUUACGUAGACACCAAAAUUUCAUCGGGAUACAAAUCAGCACUUUGUGGUAAACUCAAUUUAACUCAAUUUUAAUUGUAGCAAAGCUUUUAACCGGGGGCUCUUUUUCCACCAUUUUUCUUCUAACACUUUCGGCUCCCAGCACUCUGGAGGCAUCCUCCAUCACUGAACAUUCUUCACUCACCUUCAUCAUUGCCACCACCAACCACAUCAGCAUCAGAAUCAACAUAAUCAUCUUCAUCUCAGUCACCUCUCUCACCUCUAACCCAUACCAACAUUUUUAGGGUACAAAAUUGUGCUCCAAGACACAAGCAUAGUGACACCUGAGAAUCAUCCAAUUCAUCUUCAUGUAUACGAUUUCUAUAUCAUUGCACAACGUUUAAAGAACUUCGAUCCUAAAAGGGAUACUUCUAAAUUCAACCUUGUUGAUCCACCUGUGAGGAACACCGUUGGAGUGCCUGUGAAUGGAUGGGCAACCAUCAGAUUCGUCGCUGAUAAUCCAGGUAAACACCCUUCUUCAUCAUUUCAAUUACUGUGAUUCCAUUACCAAUUUUUUACUUGUUAUUAGUAUUUUUCUUAAUCAUUUUCAUAGUAUUGUGGCAUACCAAUUCUUCCCUGCAUCUGGGAAACUAGUUUAAUGCUCUGUUUCAUUGGAUAAAUUUCCCUAAAAAGUAUGUGUACAUUGUAAUAAUAGUGUGAGAUAGUGUCGGCCUUUGGCUAACAUUGGAAAACAUACUAGAUUGUAACACAAAAAUUCUUUCAUUAUAUUUUAAUUAUUAUUAUCAUAUUAUUACAUACAAAGUUUAAUUGAAUGGUAAUUUUUAACGUAAUAAUAUUAUCAUUGAAAGGAUAAAUAGACUAAUAUAAAAACAAGUGUCAAGCUGCACUAAAACCCGGACCAACGGGUCCACCCUUUACACCCAGACCUAAAGCAUAAGACGUGAUUGAAAAAUGCUUGUAGUCAUAAGAAACUAAUUACCAUUUUCUUCAAAGAUAACGUACCUCCUGACUGGAUAUUCCAUGUCCUGUGCAUUGCUAAAUGAUACAUAAAAUUACAAUAGAAUCUGGAAAAUGAAUGUCAAUGCUACGAGUAGGAUAUGAUAGAGAAAUUUACUUUUCAACAACUAUAUAUAUCAACUACCUUUUCAAAUUAGAAAGACUAAUGCUUAAUUAGACUAAUGCUUAAUUACCAGCUAAUUUUGAAACAAGAAUUCUGAUGGAGUCACCUACACCUUACCUUAAACAUGAUAAUGCUGGCAAUUAUGGUGAACGUUGUGAACAUGACAUAGUAAACAGGACAUACAACAGUAGUAUGAAAAGUGUCUAAAGCAUGCAAAAUUGUAAGCUUUUAGUAGCAUCAAGAAUAAUAACAACUUAAAUUUAGAGUCAAUCAUCAUAUUAAAUCAAGAAUAUAAGUUGAAAGAAAUUAUUUUUUUAAAAAACACAUUUAUGCUUUUUUAUCCUAUAAGCAAUUUAAUAAUGAACAAAUUGAUCUCUCAACAAAAAUUACAAAAUAUUUCAAAAUAGUUUUUAAAAUUCAAAAUAUUUAUAAAAAAAUUAAAUUAUAUUUAUUUUUUCAAUUGUAAGAAUAUUUUUAUUAUUUUGUUUUGAAAAAGUUUUCAAAUGUAUAUAGUUUUAAAUUUAUGUGCUCUAACAUUGAAUUAGUUAUCCUAUAACAAGAUUUUAAUUUGACAUAUUUAAUUUUUUAAUUGAACUUGAAUAAUUUCACUCGAUUCAAUUUGACUCGAAUUUUAUUUCACUCGACUCAAUUCGAAAAAAUGUCAAAUCAAGUUAGGAUGAUAAAUAGGACUCAUUAGUUCAAUUAACUCAAAAAAUUUUCACUUGAUUCGAUUAAACACUCAUAAAAAUCAUCAAAAAUAAAUGAGACGGAGAUAAUUUGCUGAAGGAUAAGAUGAAAUGUGUUUUAGAAAUUAACAUUUUUUUUCUUUGGCAUGCAAGCUAAUGUUCAAGUCUUUUUACCCAAUAAUGAGUACUCCUAAAUCCAACUUAUAAAUAUGUUAUGAUCUACCAACGGGCUUAAUUAAAUCCAACACCCCAAAUUAUGGGCUCAACUCUAAAUUCAAGAUUUGGCAUUGCAUGCAAAUGUCUAAGUCUUUGCCCGAUCCUUACUAGAUGAAAACAAUGGUUUACCACUUUGUUUAAGUCAAGUCAUUAUAAACACAAAAAUAAAGCAUUUGUGUUAGCUGGUUGAGAUGGAUUGAUGAGUGAAAAUUAUGAUGACCACACAAUUUCUGCGAAACUUCGAUUGGUACAAAAUAAGUGCGAGGCUGUACCAAAACCCAACAUGUGUUUGAUAAAAUAAAAACCCAAUGUGUCAGCAAAAGGUGGGAGUAGCAGCAGCAGCUGUCUCUUUACACAAUCAGUACAAUGUCCAUCAGAUAUGGCUUUCAUGUUUGCUGGCUGUGAAGGAGGAUUGUUUCCAUACAACUUAUUUAUACACAAAUUAGUUCUUUCCAUACAUUAUUUUGAAUUUUGGACUAAGCCCGAUCACUACUGCAUCAAUGUUGUACCACUAACUUUAUUUUGGUCAAUUAAUAAAAAAAAAUGGAAUUGUGGUGAUUUUUUUUAGCUGAUUGAGAUAAAAUGAUGGCUCAAAGACUAAAUUUUCUCAUAACUUUGAUGACUUUUCAAUGAACUUAAAGUGUAUGGAAUCAAUAGAAAUUUAUGGAAUGAGAUAUUAUUGGACUUAGUCUUAGCCUUUUGGCACUGUAUGCAAAUGUCUAAAUCUUUUUUACCCCAUCAAAACAAUGUUUAGCAAGUUUCUUAUGUAGUUGAGAUGGAUUGAUGGGCACAAGUAGCGGAAAUUUUGAUGAUAAAAUGUUUACAAUUUUCCUCUUCUUAGCAAUUUCUUUGAAAGAAACAUAUUUAAAUUUUCACAAUAAAAUUUCUUUAGAUUUAAUUGAAAUUAUCAAAGAAAAAUGAGAUUGACAAGAUAUCUUAUAUUAUUAACAAUUUUUCGAUUCUUUCAAAAAAUUAAUUUCAAUUUCAAAAGUUUUUUGAAAUUAAUAGAACUAUCAUUGAAAGGAUAAACAAACUAGUAUAAAAAUAAGUGUCCGGCUGAACUAAAACUCAGACCAACAGGUCCACCCUUUACACCCGGUCCUAAAGCCCAACACGUGAUUGAUAAAAUAUAAAGCUAAUAUCUGUUUGGAAGAGCAAAGGAUGAGAGUAGCAGCAUCUGCGUCUCUUUACACAAUCCGUCCAAUGUCCAUCAGAUAUGGCUUCCAUCAACAUCAUGCCAUUAAAUCUCCUCAGCUGUACAAAUAUUCUGAAGAUAAAAUAAUUGAAGUAAAAGUAAAUUGCAUAUAAAAGAAAGCUUGGGCAGCCAUUUCCUUGUUUAUAAUAUCAUUAUUAGCAUGGAAAUUCAGUAGCAGUGAAACAUUGCAUCCCCCAAAUCCACAGGGACCUGGAUGCAAAAUGAAUAAACACUAAUAUAUACUCAUGGAAAACUACAAAAGGAAAAAAGUGCAUAUAAAGCAAAAUUACAAACCAGUGGAUUGAUCUUGUUAGGAUCAUUGCCUACAUUCUUCAUGAACCUCACAACUGUACAUUCCAUGUCCUGCUUCAAGUACCUCCUGCAUUGCUCAAUGGUAACAUCAAAUUACAAGUACGAUAUAAUAGUGAACUUGGUAAAGACAGCAAAAAAUGAGGUUAUAUAUAUAUAUAUAUAUAUCAACUAUCUGUUCAAAUUAGAAAGACAAAUGCUUACCAGCUAAUUUUGAAGAAAGAAUUCUGAUGGAGUCACCUAUAUCUUCUGCUAUUUCUUUUCCCACACUUUUUGAACUUGUCCACCCAUUUGUUUCCCAACUCAUUCAGCACUGUAUAUCCAAUACAUAGCCCAACGACUAAUCCACUAGCAUAACCUAUCAACGCAAUUUUCCAAGUAGACAGAGCAUAUAACCAUGAAUCUUCAUCUUCCCCUGGAGGUGGUGGCAUUGGAAGACCAACUUCAUUGCAUUUUCUUGACAAUGGCAGCCCACACAAUUUUGGGUUCCCACGGUAGGAAUCAUUUGUAAAUGUAAUGAAUUGGUUGCUUUGUGGUAUGCUCCCUUCAAGUUGGUUGUAUGACAAGUUCAAUGCUUCCAGGAAAGUUAGACUUGUAAGUUGUGGAGGAAUCUUCCCUGACAGCUUGUUUCUUGAGAGAUCCAAAGAUUCGAGGUCUUUUAGAUUUUGAAGUGCUAAUGGGAUUUCACUAGAGAAGCUAUUGUUGGAUAAGUUCAUCACUCUGAGUGACCUCAGCAUUUGUAUUUCUUCUGGUAUUCUCCCAUGGAAACUAUUGUUGGAAAGGUCAAGACAAGUAAGAAUUGCCAAGACUUUUUGGUAGAACAUUUCAAUCCCUUUGUUAACAAUUGUCACAGAGUCUUGAUAAUAAUUCUCUCCGAUAUAAUUCAGCUUAGCCUUUUCGUCAUUAGUCAUCUUCGCCAUUGCCUUCAAAC
This 10695-nucleotide long non-coding RNA is filed under the name Gossypium barbadense (sea-island cotton). RNAcentral's name for it is "long non-coding RNA (GBAR_LNC022951)". The record is from RNAcentral. Lineage: Eukaryota; Viridiplantae; Streptophyta; Magnoliopsida; Malvales; Malvaceae.